Chenopodium quinoa (quinoa) is the source of this 739-nucleotide long non-coding RNA. RefSeq lists it as uncharacterized. The record is from RefSeq and is a predicted model, not a curated record. The transcript has 2 exons. NCBI's taxonomy places the organism in Eukaryota, Viridiplantae, Streptophyta, Magnoliopsida, Caryophyllales, Amaranthaceae.
AUAUUACAAUAAAUUGUAGGCGAAUUAACUAGCACUAGGUGAAAAAAUGAAAUUGGCACCGCCCUAAGGGCACCUGUUCUUAAGAACCGGUGGGGAAAAAAAGGGGGAAAAUAGGUGGGGAGAGUAUUGCCACCUAUUCAAAUUAAACCGGUGGGAAAAACAUUAAUCCUACCGGUUUUGAACCGGUAGCCUUGUUAAAAAAAAGUCAGCCUUUUUUUAUGUAAAGCCCACCCAUUUUCUUCCUUCCUAUAUAUAAGCCCCUUUUCCCAAACCCUAACCCUUUCAUCUUCUCUCUCCUCCCUCAUUCUCUCUUCACUCGUCUCCUCUGAUCUCACUCCUUCGAAAAUAAUUCCUCUGAUCUCUCCAAAUUUCGCUCCUCCACUCCUCUAAUCUCGCUCCUCCUUCAUUCUCUCUUCUCUCGUCCCCUCCUCCCUCCUCUUCACCUCUCUCGACCACCAACCGCCGCCGCCACCACUGAAUUUCGCCGCAACAACACCAAAUUUGAGGGGUUCAGGUACGUAUAUUGAUUUACAUGUUAAAUCGAAGAAUCAAGAUGCAAGAGUUGUAUGGGUUUUUGUUAUUUUGAUGUUGUAAUUUUUUUUUGAUUUAUAUUGUAUUUUUUUUUGGAUUUAUAUUGUAAUUUUUUUAUUUAUUUAUGUGUUGUAAUUGAUCUAUAUUGUAAUUUUUUUUAUUAUAUAUUGUAAAGUUUUCGAUUAAAUUGACUGAUAUUCGAGUUAUA